UAUGAGCGCUUGCGUCUAUCUCCACUACUAUUAAACAAUCCAACAAGAUUUUUCCUAAGUUCACCCCAUAAUUACCCUCAGUGCAUUUCAGAAAAUGUACAUGGACCCAUUACCACUGCAUGAUUAGACCUACUAACUUAAUCUAACCGCCAGCGUUAAUCUAAUCCAUACUCUGUGUGCACUUAGCAAAUUACAUUGACUGGCCGUACUCCACCUUUAAAGAAAAUUACCCACCAUGCCACCCAUAAGUGAAAAGUAACGAUUUGACAGUAAGGCGUUUUUUUUUCGUACCUGCAUCGGGCCUCCGCCUCUGCCGCGUCGCUGCGCUGUUAGGCCUGCUCCGUCCCUCACAUCCUUCCCGCUUCCAUAGCCCCCGAACCCUAGCCGGUUGCGCCUCCGCAGAAGAGGAAUCGGUGGUGGAGAGGAUUGGUCGAACACCGGAAGUCCAAGACCUGCGACUGAUUUUGCGGCGCAUCAGCACCAGGCGAUGGUGGGUAUCCUGUACGUGCCGGUGGAUCUACAUAAUGUGUCGGCGCAGGGCUGACACUGCAGCCAGGUGACGUCGCUACCGCCGCCGAGCACCAUGUAGAGCUGCCGCGCGAGCCGGCCCACUCCGACACGCGAGAAGUACUCACCGCUCCCUGCCCGACGGCGGACACCACGGCCCCUGUGUCUCUGUUGCCAACGCCUCGAAGACCGGCGUGGUCUUGGCCGGCUUCAGAUCGGGGGCCCGGGGAGUCGCUGUGUAGGCGGGCGAGCACGUGGGACCUGUAUCUCUGGUGCCGGCCCUGCUCCUCCGGGAGGAAGUCCCUGGAGUCGAGCCGCAGGGUGAGCCCGCUCUGGUGAAGGAGUGGGUCGAGGAGAACGACCUGCGCUGUUCUUCAAUCGCGUUCUGGUGAAGGAGUCAAUCGCUGGUGAACGACAUGCUUAAUCUUGAACAUCCGAUUGCUUUCAACAUGAUCAACCUCUGCCCUUUUAUUCGUGGAAGAAGCAGCCCGUGAGGACGACCUGUUCUCCUUUUCAAUCUGGUGCGUAAGUCUGAAGUUUCUCUUUCUCAUGCCAUGUUCCCAUGAAUAGCUCCCUAGAACUGACAGAAUUCUGAUCACAAGACUGCUUUCAACUUGAUCAAGCUUUCCCUUUUAUAAGAAGAAGAAUCAGCCGGGGUUGUAUUUUGUCUACUGAGAUGGAAGAAGAGGCUAACACAUCGUACCAUGCCAACAUGAGGUACCAAGCUUUCCCUUUCACUUUUACUUUUCUCUCAUCCUGAAAUAUGGCACUUGCAUAAGUUUUUUUUGCUGAUGAUCACUUUACAAUUGCAUAGCUAUAUUUUCCGUUUUGGUACCUCAUGUUUGCAUGGAUUUUAAAAAUUCGGAUGAAGCUUGGGCAUUUUGGUUUAGCUGUGGUGAUCAAAAGGGCUUUGAGGUCCGAAAAAGGUAUAUGAACAAUAGAUCCGCCGAUGCCAAGGUAACGCCAGGUCGAUUUGUUUGUGCAAGGAAAUGGAAUGCUUAAUCUCUUUUUCCAAAGUAAAUUCAAUUGUCAGGUCUGAAAAUGUACAAGUAGCAAGGGCUACAUAGGCUAAUUCAGUUAACAAGUAUGAACACUAAAUUCAGUUAUCAACUAAUCGGCCCGCAACGGUGCGACAACGACGGUGUGCGCAGCCGACCUGAAGCCAUGCAGAUGGGUGUGCAGGUCGUCGAUGUGGGGUUGCUGCGCGCGUAUGCCGAGGUGUUCAUCACGGGCGACGACUCGAGGGGGGCGACGAACAGGACGCCCUUGGACCGGCAUGGCGGGGAGGCCAUGUAGCACGUGUUGCUCUGAUUGCCCUGUAUCCUGGACGCCGCCGACCACAGGGGCUCCAGCUGCACGUGUUUCCCGGCCGCCUCCAACCAGAGGGGGCUCUUGCGACGUGUUGCUUUGUUUCCCGGCCACUGCGGACAGCGAGGGCUCCCUUUGCACGUGUUGCUUUGUAUCCCGGCCACCGUUGACCACUCGGGCUCCGGCUUCACGUGUUGCUCUGCGUCCACUGCUUCUUUGGCGAGCUAAUGGCGACGACGAGGACGCGCCCUGAGCUCGUUCUACCGCGAUGAAGAACCAUUUUUUUUAGAGGUAGAAUGGGAAUUCUAGGGGAACGAGGAGAUUAUUGAAAUCAGGAGGUCAUCAUGGUAUGGAUAUUUUUAUUGUUUUUAUCUGUUUCAUACUACUAUUGGAUUUUGUUGUUUCUCACUAAGAGCUAUUUGACUUAUAUAAUCCCAAUGUUCUGUUGUUAUUUUCCAAACUAUUAAAAACUGGGUGUGUGCUUUAUUGUGAGCGUUCACGAGAGAAGCUUACUACUAUUUGGAAUAACAGGUUGCAAAUACCUUCGUUGCUCUGGACCUUGUCAUGGAAGGAUUAACACUAAAUGACCAUAAAUGAACUACAUUGGCUAGGACCUUCAGAUUAUGAGGGCGAGGAUGUCUUAUUGAUGCAACUUGAUGUUAUGCAGUUUAAGAGGUCAUGGCUGCGAGUAUGACAAACAAUUAUAUCUGCGUUACAUGAUGAGUAUCUACAUAUUACCAUGGUUUCCCGCGAGGUAUUGGUGAUGGCGUUGGUUGCCAAGAUGCACUACCGGAGGGGGGCGGCAUAAUGCAAAUAUACUUGGUCACAAUUUAAUUUUCUUCAUGGACUGAUUUUGUAUCAAUUAGUUAACGAUAUUUGGUACUUGUUAUGCAAUGGACUUGGGAAUGUAUUCAUAAAGCAUGAUAUUUUCCAGUCAUUUUAAGGACUUAGAAAUUAUAUGCUAUCUGCAUGAGAUUUCAGCUUCACAGAAAGUAGGUUUACAUUGUUAAUAGAAUUACUAUGUUUCAUAAUGAAAUAUAUUUUAGUCGAGACGUGCGUUGCACGUGCAUACUUACUAGUACUAUGUUAAAAAGGAACAAAUAUCUCACUCUUAAAAAAAGAAAAGAAUUCCCACAAAAAAAGAGAAAAGAACAAAUCAAUCAA
Long non-coding RNA from Triticum aestivum (bread wheat), 2979 nucleotides. RefSeq lists it as uncharacterized. NCBI's taxonomy places the organism in Eukaryota, Viridiplantae, Streptophyta, Magnoliopsida, Poales, Poaceae. The record is from RefSeq and is a predicted model, not a curated record. The transcript has 4 exons.